Molecule: non-coding RNA, 134 nt
Organism: Peromyscus maniculatus bairdii (prairie deer mouse)
Lineage: Eukaryota; Metazoa; Chordata; Mammalia; Rodentia; Cricetidae
Source: RefSeq, a predicted model, not a curated record
GGGAAAUGAGGAUAGGUGGGACCCCAAAACUCCCUCAGGAUUGAGUAAGUGGCUCAGUGUCUAAAAGGAAGGAAAUGGAUCGUGCCAUACUGUAAUGGCUACCCUAGGUUCCCUCUGAGCCCACUGCCACGCCU